RNAcentral lists this ribosomal RNA (468 nucleotides) under uncultured bacterium. RNAcentral's name for it is "partial 16S ribosomal RNA". It matches the Rfam family "Bacterial small subunit ribosomal RNA", at positions 28 to 507 of the family's 1533-position model. The record is from RNAcentral.
GACGAACGCUGGCGGCGUGCUUAACACAUGCAAGUCGAGCGGCAAGGCCCUGCUUUUGUGGGGUGCUCGAGUGGCGAACGGGUGAGUAACACGUGAGUAACCUGCCCUUGACUUUGGGAUAACUUCAGGAAACUGGGGCUAAUACCGGAUAGGAGCUCCUGCUGCAUGGUGGGGGUUGGAAAGUUUCGGCGGUUGGGGAUGGACUCGCGGCUUAUCAGCUUGUUGGUGGGGUAGUGGCUUACCAAGGCUUUGACGGGUAGCCGGCCUGAGAGGGUGACCGGCCACAUUGGGACUGAGAUACGGCCCAGACUCCUACGGGAGGCAGCAGGGGGGAAUAUUGCACAAUGGGCGGAAGCCUGAUGCAGCAACGCCGCGUGCGGGAUGACGGCCUUCGGGUUGUAAACCGCUUUCGCCUGUGACGAAGCGUGAGUGACGGUAAUGGGUAAAGAAGCACCGGCUAACUACGUG